Molecule: ribosomal RNA, 912 nt
Filed under: uncultured bacterium
Lineage: Bacteria
Description: bacterial SSU rRNA
Rfam family: Bacterial small subunit ribosomal RNA
Source: RNAcentral
AGAGUUUGAUCAUGGCUCAGAUUGAACGCUGGCGGCAUGCCUUACACAUGCAAGUCGAACGGUAACGGGUCCUUCGGGAUGCCGACGAGUGGCGAACGGGUGAGUAAUAUAUCGGAACGUGCCCAGUAGUGGGGGAUAACUGCUCGAAAGAGCAGCUAAUACCGCAUACGACCUGAGGGUGAAAGGGGGGGAUCGCAAGACCUCUCGCUAUUGGGGCGGCCGAUAUCAGAUUAGCUAGUUGGUGGGGUAAAGGCCUACCAAGGCAACGAUCUGUAGUUGGUCUGAGAGGACGACCAGCCACACUGGGACUGAGACACGGCCCAGACUCCUACGGGAGGCAGCAGUGGGGAAUUUUGGACAAUGGGCGCAAGCCUGAUCCAGCAAUGCCGCGUGCAGGAAGAAGGCCUUCGGGUUGUAAACUGCUUUUGUCAGGGAAGAAAUCUUCUGGGCUAAUACCCCGGGAGGAUGACGGUACCUGAAGAAUAAGCACCGGCUAGCUACGUGCCAGCAGCCGCGGUAAUACGUAGGGUGCGAGCGUUAAUCGGAAUUACUGGGCGUAAAGCGUGCGCAGGCGGCUUUGCAAGACAGAUGUGAAAUCCCCGGGCUCAACCUGGGAACUGCAUUUGUGACUGCAAGGCUAGAGUACGGCAGAGGGGGAUGGAAUUCCGCGUGUAGCAGUGAAAUGCGUAGAUAUGCGGAGGAACACCAAUGGCGAAGGCAAUCCCCUGGGCCUGUACUGACGCUCAUGCACGAAAGCGUGGGGAACAAACAGGAUUAGAUACCCUGGUAGUCCACGCCCUAAACGAUGUCAACUGGUUGUUGGACGGCUUGCUGUUCAGUAACGAAGCUAACGCGUGAAGUUGACCGCCUGGGGAGUACGGCCGCAAGGUUGAAACUCAAAUGAAUUGACGG